CUUAAUAGGAACGUGUUAACUGCCUGGGGUCUCAGAAGUUCCCGGGUCAGGCCACGCCCACAACCUCGAGCCCCGCCCCCUCCCCCGGUCCCAGAGCUCCCAGCGCCUCGCUGCUCAGAGGACCCUCUUUGCUCGCCGACCGUUCUCAACUCUCCGCUUCUGCACCUAGCCUGGCUCCAAAGGACACCAGACCAGUUCAAAGGAUCCAAAGUAGAGAAGCAGAGCCUCUCCGGAGGGAAGAGGAACAGACCAGAACCUCCCAGGGGCGGCUUCGAAGGCCACACCGGGCGUCCGCAGGCUGCGUCCACCCACCGGAACGUCCUUUGACGCGCCCCUCAGUGGCCCAGCCCUCGACCCGCCUCCUUGCGCACGCGCAGUGAGGUGCAGACCCGGAACGAGGGGCGCUCUCGCGAGAGAGUCUCGGUUUUUUUGGUCCGAAACUAACGGCGCCAUGCAGUCUUCAGGCCCCGCUUCUCCACACCUCGGUUUCGGGGGUCUCCCGCUAAUGAAGGAGAAGCAGCAUUCCAAAAGAAAGUAAGCGUGCUGUCGGGGUGAAGAAGAGAAUAUCAGCAUCCUGUAAUGUUGCUUGGACGCAGAGCAUGGCGCAGAGAGGGAAAGAAAUGCAGGCAAAGCGGGGGUCCUGUUGCCAGGGGCUCACGACAUCAUCUCUCCCGAGGAGCGUGACUGGAUCCUGUUGACACGAAGAGGUCACGGAGAGGCUAAAACAAGGUGCUACUAGGGUUUCCCGUUGCCUUCAGGACAAAAAUCUAAAGUCUUCAGUGUAGCUUCCGCAGGGAGCUCUGGAGCUGGGGUGGCCCCUCGGAGUUGCUGCCACUUGUCGGAUGGGACGAGCAUCCUAUCCUGCAUCAGCCAGUCACUGGAUGCUGGCUUCCUCGGGAGGAGCCAGGGGCAGGGAGGAGGCACUUGCCCCUGGCUGAGGGCCAAGUGGACAAAGGACGGCGCAGUUGCAGCGCAGGGGGCGUUCCAGCAGCAGCAGGGAGGGCUUCCUGAGGAAGCGGGUGACAGGCUCACUGACUGGUCUCCUUCUAGGAGGUUAUUUUGUCUGCAUCCCUCCUGUUGCUGUGGUCCUUCUCUCCCCCAUAUUAAGAAUAAUCCUACCUGAGAAAGAAGCUCAGAGGAAGAGGAAAGAAAGAAGGAAUGGUUCUUUCCCAGGGAAUUUACGUUCAAGGAUGUGGCCAUCGAAUUCUCUCAGGAGGAAUGGGAAUGCCUGUACCCUGCUCAGAGGCCUUGUACAGGGACGUGAUGUUGGAGACCUACAGGAACCUGCUCUCCCUGGGAAGCCAUUCUGCUAGACUUGCAAUCAAGGAGUUAUCACCAAGAGAAGACAUUGAUAAAGGAGAAUUAUGCCAUAUAGUGGUACUGGAAAGAAAUGAAAGUCAUGGCAUCAAGGAUUUUGACCUCAAGAAGUCUGUGCAGAUGUGCAGGAAUGUGAGAGUGAGUGGGGAUAUGAUGCAAGAGAUUAUGAAGAAGUGCUUUUGACCCAUAACAAAAAUCUCAGAGAGAAGGUCAAGAUAAUUAAAUCCUUAAUUAAUUUUC
Molecule: long non-coding RNA, 1557 nt
Organism: Balaenoptera ricei (Rice's whale)
Lineage: Eukaryota; Metazoa; Chordata; Mammalia; Artiodactyla; Balaenopteridae
Exons: 6
Source: RefSeq, a predicted model, not a curated record